Suncus etruscus (white-toothed pygmy shrew) is the source of this 107-nucleotide small nuclear RNA. The record is from RefSeq and is a predicted model, not a curated record. Lineage: Eukaryota; Metazoa; Chordata; Mammalia; Eulipotyphla; Soricidae.
GUGCUCGCUUUGGCAGCACAUAAUCUAAAAUUGGAACAAUACAAAGAAGAUUAGCACUGUCCCUGUGCAAGGAUGACAUGCAAAUUUGUGAAGCGUUCCAUAUUAGA